This 17862-nucleotide long non-coding RNA is filed under the name Fragaria vesca (wild strawberry). Its description in RNAcentral is "long non-coding RNA (FVES_LNC000479)". The record is from RNAcentral. Lineage: Eukaryota; Viridiplantae; Streptophyta; Magnoliopsida; Rosales; Rosaceae.
CUUUGAAAAUUAAUAUAUAUUCUUUUUGUUCAAUCAUAUGUGUAAAAUAUCGUAAAAUUUAUGUACAACACGUAUAUAAUACUUUCAAUAUCAAAAUUACAAAAAAUUAACCAUUCAUUUUUUUUUUCUUUUUGUUAAUAGGGUUGGGCUUGAUAAAUGAAAUUAUCAGAUAGGGGGAGUACCAAGCAUAAACCCCUUAUUGCAAAAACAAAACAUUUAGACUACAUGUGUCCAAAAUAAUAUCAGGAUCAGAAUCUUUGUAUAAGACAUGUAUUCUAACAAACGCCAAAGAGCAAAGAAUGCUCUGAUAACUACGUAAUUUGCUUUCAUUUAGCGCUGGCAUAAAAGAAAGAUAAGUCUAUAUGUGACCCGAUUACAACGUAGGAUAUUUACCAUAAGCACAACUUUCCCACCAUGUUGUCAUUGGAGUGUAAAUCCGACAAAAUUAAGCUUCACUGUGCCACUAGGCAAUGACGGCCACUUAAUGAAGUAAGGAAUACACGGCUUACAAACCUAGAGCAGACAAGACACUUUGAUUUUACAUACAUGUUUUUAAUUUGAUUAGUCAUGCAUAGUUAAUGUAGGUACUUUUUUUCUCGCAUAAUACGCGACAUAACUAAUCAACAAAAAUAAAGAAGAACAAUCAGUAAUAUAAAAACUAGAGCACACUCCAAAGUCUUUAGCCUAUGGCAAGCCCACCAACAAUGUCACAACCCGAAAGAUUAUACCAGUAAGUGGGCCGAACCUAGCCCUCCCGGACCAAGUCCAUAGAUGCAACACCCACCAUAGUGUCAUAUCAUUAACAUAUCUUCGUAUUCGUCCGACCCUCGAUGCAUGAAGCCAAACAACCUACGGCAACCCAUAGUUGGAAGUUCUACCGCAAGAUCUGACUUAACGUCCGAUCACCAUCAUCAGCCAACCAAUUGGUGUCCAAUUUAUUCCAUCCCUAAGCUACGCUAACAUGCAUUUGAAAGUUGAAUACAAGUCGCUACCCGCCAACAGCUACAUGAUAUCGCUCUCAACCUGCAAUCCAUCCCUAUUCUCAUUAAUCAUAUGCUGCAACUACUCCUUUCCCUCAAGAGAGACGAGGUAGAUCGAACACUUCGACCUGAUCCCAUCAUCAGCCUGAGACACGACCAUAAGAGAACCUAUCCAUCUAGCUGCAUCCAACAUGCACCGAUUAGGCCAGAGAACGUUGCAAACAUUAGGAUAGCUGGACCGGCAUCAUGCCAGCCAACAACAUCAGGAGAGGGAGAGAUUGUUUUCUAGGGUUUAGAGAGAGAGGCGCCGGCUUUUGUACAAAAUAUUCUUAAGAAAAAAAAAAGAGAGAAAUAUUCCAAUUAUACAUAAUACAUUAAUGCACAUUGCUUGGCCACCUUGACAGGUUCAGAGUCUAAUUACUUGGACAUAACCAAUCAAGAGUCUAAUUGCUUGGACAUAACCAAUUAAACAAGAACAACUAAACCACUUGCCGUGAUUAAGUUUUUGAAAUACUUACCUAAAAACCUAUCCAAUAACGUUUUUGAAAACGAUAUUCAUAUAAGAGCAUCUUUAACAUACUCUCUACUUUAACCCCUUCGCUAUUUUAGAGAGCGUGUUUAGUUUUUUUUUGGAUGUUUUAGGAGCUCUAGCAGACUAGCCAAACUUGAGCUAUUAUGACUUUUAGCUAUCUCGUUAGCUAAAUGACUCAGAUGAGGCUAGCUAUAAUUUAAUAUAUUCAUUGUAAGAUAUUUUAUGUGAUACAUAAAUAUAUUUAAACUAUUUAAUUUCUAUUUGAAGAAUAAUGUCGAUGUAAUACUAGCUAAAAUAUAGAGCAUUGAGAGCAACUUUAACAGACUCUCUAUUUUAGUUUUUAGCUAUUUUAGAGAACGUGUUUAACUUUUUUGGAUGUUUUAAGAGCUCCAACAGACUAGCCAAACUUGAGCUAUUAUAGCUAGUGAGAUAACUCAAAUGAGAUUAGCUAUAAUUUAAUACAUUCCUUGUAAGAUAUUUAUGUGAUAUAUAAAUAUAUUUAAAUUAUUUAAUUUCUAUUUGAAGAAUAGAUGUAAUGCUAGCUAAAAUAGAGAGCAUUGAUGCAACCACAUUUCUAAAAUGACUAGCCAAAAUAACAUUUUAGCUAAUUUAACUAAAAUUUAACUUUAAAAUAGGUAGCAUUACUAAAAACGCUCUAAAUGAAUCUAAUCAAUAAAUCUUUAUAUGGCAGCUUCAUAAGUGGGUCAAAUCAAUUCAAUAUCAAUCUAAUUUUAUAGGCCUGCAGCCACCAUGGAGUUAGCACAUAAGUCCUCGAGUCAAAGAUGUGUUUAACAAUUAUAAAAUUUAAUGCAUGAGAAGUCAAUCAUAUGGUUCUUACUUAUCUCAUACUAUAUAUCAUCUUCAGUCUGUGAGUUAUGAUCUGUUUGUUGUUUAUCCCUAUUUAUAAUUUGUAUUAAUAAGGAUUAUAAAUUUCCAUUUCAUUAGAAUAUAACAAUAUAUAAGUGCCUCUUUGAGGGAAAAAAAUAAAAAAUAAACACCAAUGUGUGUGUAAAAAGUUUUCAACAAAAUAUGCAUAUUUUUCAUUGUUUUAUCCUAACACUCUCAAAACUAGACAAAUCAAUAGCAUAGCCUGAAAACUAAACCUGAUCAGUCUACAACAUGAUAAUGAAAUUUAAGAACACCAGGAAAUUUGAUGGGAAAGAGUGACAAUAUCUGAACAUGUAUAUAUAUACAUGUGAUUAUGUGAAAUGUGAAAGGUUAGAGUGUGAAGAAGAUGAUUGUAGAUUGCUAAUACAGCAAGCUUGUGCUAACAGAAUGUCAUGCAUGCGCCUUAAGCGUGGCUUCAGAAUAUUGUUAAUAAUUUUAGAUUCUAAACACUAUGCAUGAUCGAAUUACAUCUUAGCAUGUAAGCAACAAAAAGAAAAUUACAGCACAGUAUAUGAGAUUAUGCACGCGCCAAUAAAACUGGUAUGGUAUGGUUAAUUAUUAGCAUCUGUGUUUUAAUAUUAUGGUGUAUCUGACACCUUUGAUACAUGUGAUAUCAUGGUUUUUUUUUAUGAGAAUGUGAUAUCAUGGUGAGAUUUAUUACCGUUGGAUCCAAUGGCAUUUUGGGGCAGAUACAUCUUUAUUUAUACGUAUAUUUUACACUAUAGACUCUGAAAUGUUACUUGUGAUCUGUGAAUGCUCUGAGGAAUUACAAGUCUUUGUGAAUAAUCACUAUUUUAGUAUGAAAACGAUAGAAUUAUGAAGUUGUAGGGAUGAUAAUCUAUAUCUUAUGCGGAGUCACCAAUCACUUACAUUCAAUUUACGGGCGAACCCACCUUAGCUAGAUUGAUCAGUCAAAUUGGAUACCAAGAAUAAUGAAUGAUUUUUCCCUUGGAACAUGUAGGUGAUAAAUAAAUUAAACCCCUUUUUCUUCGUUUCUCAAAUUAAUUCCCUAUAUAUAUUGGCUUUCAUUUUGUCUUACAAUUCUAAUCAAGUUUCCAGAUUCCAGAUAUCGAGUCUCGAUCAUGUUUCAGCUGUUGAAAAGUGCUCCGGCAGUGAACUCCAUUAGGAGCCUCUCCCUUUAUUUCAAUGGCAGCGCCUCUCCCUUUUCAGGUGGAACCGGCCAAGCUACUAGAGUAAUUAAGAAAGGUGGUCGAUCUGACAAAUGAAGCCAACCAUCAACUAAUUAAAAAGAUAAAAAGAGGUCAAAUAUCUAGGACAUACGUAUCACGUGGCAGUACACCAAACCAACAAAACAGACGUAAUAUGUUACGGUAACACUGAUGUUAAUAUAAAAUUUCUUAGUCAUUUUGCCGCCAAGCCGCAGGGACAUCCAUACCUAAGAAAUUUUCCAUACAUGCAAAUAGAUCUAGUUUCUUUACGUUUUAUACACUAGUUGUUUCACCGUUACUUACAUGUCACCAAGGAUUGAAUCAACUAAUACACGAGUAAAUUUGUUGUUGAUAAAACUUAAGAAUGAUUUCUAGGUUCAGAAAUGAGGCACCCAGCUAGGCUAGGACCUUUAAUUUGCCCUUUACCAUCCAAAAAAAAUCUCUAGAAUUGAUAAGUUUUUUCGAUUACAACCAAACUCAUAAGUUGGUAAUAGCCGUUAUCAAAGAAUACCAAACUUAGUUAAAUUUGAUCAAAGAACUUGCAUUGUUAAAUAAGUUGUAACAUGCAUUAUCUAAUUGGUCGAGGCUGGAUAAAAAACAGAAAAAACAACUUUUUAAUCUAUAUAUGUAAUUCAAUGUGUAUAAUUAAGAACAAUGUGAUACGACAAAUUAACAAGAAAGAAGAACUCAAUUCUUCUUUCAAACAAUGGCUAUCACCCAAGAAAUCCUCUAUGUGCUUCUUACCAUACUCAGCUCAUCCUCUCUUUUUCUUCAUCACCAUUCGUGUAAUGCGCAAUCACUUGCAUCAUGCCAAUUCGGUUCAAUUUAUCAAUUUGGGGAUUCAUUUUCCGACACAGGAAACUUGGCUCUCGUGGCUCCGAAAGUACCCUGCAAUCAACCUCCCUACGGGCAAAGUUUGCCCAAUAAAGCAACCGGCCGAUGCUCUGAUGGGUUGUUGAUAGUCGACUACAUAGGUAUUAUUAUUUGUUUAACAUAUAGUUAAUUGGAUUCACUUAAAUUAAGUUUCUGUGCAUAGUUCUAAGGAACAAUCAUUGAAAAUUACAAACUUGUGUGCAUGCAUGGGACUGUUACGAUUGUAUGUUUAACACACACACACACAUAUAUAGUUAAGUUUUUGCUAGUACCUCCAAGAAAUUAAUACUUGAUGGAUAUUGAGAUCGAAUUACAAACUUGGAUGCAUGCAUGCAUGCAUAAACCCAAGUAACUAAUUUCAUUUGUAGUAAUCAUCCGUCUAUCUUAUUUAUUUUUGAAUUAUAUACCCUAGCUUAUUCUAGCGCUGAUUUUUAACAAUUCAUGAGGCUCGAGUCGUUCGAUUAAGCAACAAUAAGAAGUUAUUUUCUUAUGCAGCACAAGCAGCGGGUCUAUCUUUUAUUGAACCAUAUUUCAGCAAAAAUGCCACUCAUAGCAGUGGAGUAAAUUUCGCAAUGGCUGGGGCUCCUGCUUCUUCUUUAUAUGAAAAUCAAGAUUACGGGCAACGUAUACCGGCUAUGGAUCAUGAACAACUGGAUUUGUUUUCAAAAUAUUUGAAUGGAUCAUCUUGUAGUCAAGGUUGAGGAUCUGCUUCCUCUUUUAUAUAUAAAAUCUUCUUUGAAGUGUAAGUAGAUUCACUUGUUUCUUUUAGUUAAAAAUUUAUAUGUUUGGCAUGCAGAUCGACUUAAAAGGUCUCUAUUCAUUGUGGGACAAAUUGGACUCAAUGAUUACAAUAAUGGCUUAUUACAUGGAAAUAAAAGUUUUGAGGAGGUAAAGAAUAUGGUUCUCAAUGUAGUCCAAGCCAUUAAGGACGCUGUUAAAGUAAGUAAUCUAUCUCCUUGUAAAUAUUUGCCUCUGCAGUAAAACUUCAAGUUUGAGCUCUUGAAUUGGUUAUUCACCCAUCGAGUUAAAUUUUUUUUUUUUUUUUUUUUCAGUGGGUGAUUGGUUACGGUGCUGUAAAAGUCCUUGUCCCAGGACAAUGGCCAAUGGGUUGUUUGCCAAUUUACCUUUCACGUUUUCCCACUAAUGACACUGCUGCUUAUGAUCAAUUUCAUUGCCUAAAGGAUUGGAAUAGUAUUUCAGAUUGUCACAAUUACCAUCUGAGAAACGCCAUUGAAGAACUGAAGAAAGAAUACCCUGAUGUUACUAUCGUAUAUGCUGAUUAUUAUAGCGCUUUUGAAUGGAUACUCACUCAGCAAGAGGAGUUAGGUAAGUCACCUAAUCAAAAUCAUACCUUAUUGUUUCUAAGAAAACUAUUGAAAUGCAUGCUCUAAUAAUUAUAUAUAUAUAUAGUCCGUUUCAGAUACGGACGUCCGCACCGCUUUAAGGUGCGGAUUUCCCUCCGUUCGCCACCGUACGGCACCGGCGAGGGCGCGCCUCCACCCUAGCGGACUCCAGCAGCUUCCCCGACCACUUUCCCUCCCCAGCGAGUCCGCCGAAUUCCAGUUUUCCGGCCAGAUUAUCCAAAACUUCAAACAAAGUCAAUCUGGCCGGAAAACUGGAAUUCAGCGGACUCGCCAGGGAUGGAANNNNNNNNNNNNNNNNNNNNNNNNNNNNNNNNNNNNNNNNNNNNNNNNNNNNNNNNNNNNNNNNNNNNNNNNNNNNNNNNNNNNNNNNNNNNNNNNNNNNNNNNNNNNNNNNNNNNNNNNNNNNNNNNNNNNNNNNNNNNNNNNNNNNNNNNNNNNNNNNNNNNNNNNNNNNNNNNNNNNNNNNNNNNNNNNNNNNNNNNNNNNNNNNNNNNNNNNNNNNNNNNNNNNNNNNNNNNNNNNNNNNNNNNNNNNNNNNNNNNNNNNNNNNNNNNNNNNNNNNNNNNNNNNNNNNNNNNNNNNNNNNNNNNNNNNNNNNNNNNNNNNNNNNNNNNNNNNNNNNNNNNNNNNNNNNNNNNNNNNNNNNNNNNNNNNNNNNNNNNNNNNNNNNNNNNNNNNNNNNNNNNNNNNNNNNNNNNNNNNNNNNNNNNNNNNNNNNNNNNNNNNNNNNNNNNNNNNNNNNNNNNNNNNNNNNNNNNNNNNNNNNNNNNNNNNNNNNNNNNNNNNNNNNNNNNNNNNNNNNNNNNNNNNNNNNNNNNNNNNNNNNNNNNNNNNNNNNNNNNNNNNNNNUACUAUAAUAUAUAUAUAUAUAUAUAUAUAUAUAUAUAUAUAUAUAUAUAUAUCUGUAUGAUAUGCAGGGUUUGAGGCCGUAGACAAGUUAUGUUGUGGUGUUGAAGGUGAAGCGGACACUAGUGAAGUGAAAGCUUGUGGAAUUUCUCCUGAGGUGCAUGUGUGUGCCAAUCCGGGUAAUCUAAUUAGUUGGGACGGGAUUCAUAUGACACAACAAGCGCACAAGUAUAUAGCACAGAAACUCAUUCGAGACAUUUUACCUGAUCUUAAUUGUGGCCAAAGUUGAGAGCAGCAAAGAGUUUGGGAUCCUAUAACUAGGAAAAUUAUCACUUGUAGUUGCUCAAACAUUUGUGACUAUUUUUAUCAGGAAAAAAGAUAGAAUGUGUUUUAAUUGAUUUAUGAAGAAUCAUCAACUUUUAUACUUGCAUAUUCGGAUCAUUUAACUUGGAUAGAUCGAUGCAUGCAAAAGAAAGAGAAAUAUAUAUAAUCUUUUCGGGAUUGUUUAUGGUGCUAAGAUAUUUGUCACACACUCAUUUUACAACCAAAUUAAACCAAAAUUAAAAGUUAAUUGUACCACAUUUACAACAUUAGCAACAAUGUUACUAGAUUUGUUUUACAGAUUUACAUAUAAUUAAAUCAAAUUAAUUAUUAUAUUGAUAACAAAUUGUUCAUAAACUUGUACCUAGUAUCACAAACAAAUCUCCCUAAUCCUUUCCGCCCUAUAUGUACAUAAAUUAAAUUGAGAGAAAAAGAGAGCUUAUUCCUUAAGUGCUGUUCAUAUUCAAAAGAUAGUGUGGUUCUAAGAUCUCCUCCAAUGGAUCCAUACAGAAGUGAAUCAAAUCUAACAUUAUAUCAUGAAAAGAAGGAAAAGAAAAAGAAAAAGAUAAUGAUAUAUAUAUGGGAAGUGGAUUUGAGAACAACACGAGGACAUAAGACUCCACCAAGCUAACCUUGUUGAUAAAAAUAUUUAGGGUUUGGAAGGGAGUGAGAGUUCUUGAGUGGAUUGGUAGCUUUAAGUCCAAGUCUUUUAACAAAGAAACAACAAGAAGAGCAAAGACACAUCCCUGAUUUUGAUGCCAAAUACACGUGAGGAUGGGAAUCCAAUCCAACCCAAAUUUCUUUUUCUUCCACUAUAAUAUUUUUCUUGUAUUUUUUCUGACCAAACCACACCCUCCUCCCUAGUCCCUCCUUAACAAAUCAUUUCUACCUUAACAAUUUCUAUGUUAAUCUAUUACAAGUGACCAUAAAGGACCAAAGAGAUCGAUGACUAAACAUAUAUAAAGCUAAACGGCGCUGCUUGCUUGCUUGCUUCAAGUUUCCCUGUUUCCAGGGUCGUCGUGGCCUUGGGAAGUUCCCCUUAUUCGAAUCUAUACACGUUGGGGUUUUCUCAGUCACCACCUCACUAUCACAAACCCUAAACUCCAAUCAAAUUAGUGAAGACGACAGCAUCACCAUGACGUCUAGGGUUUCGGCUUUUCUUUUGGACGGCUAUUCUUGAGAAGCACGAUUCGAAACUAUAUACGGCCGGUGAUUGGUAAAUUCCAAUCGAAUAUAUUGUUUGAUAUAUAGUUUAUAUGUGUGUAAAUCAAAUUAAACAAAGUACAUUCAUCUUUUUUUUUUUGAUAUUAGAAUUUGAAACUUCGGGUGACAUUAAUCUAAUUGCAAAAUACGAGCUAGCUAAGUUAAUGGCCAUGCUUGCUAUUAAAAGGUUUAGUAAAUAGGUUUUAUUAGAAAUAUCGAGCUGUAAAACAUAGACAAAUAGUACGUAUAUAUGAUGGAAGAAAUGGCUAAGUCACUGAUCGAUCAUGGGAACUGGCCUUUUUUGGACCCAUUAUAUAGGAAUCUUUGAUUAUCUACUGCUCUUGUUUUAUUUAAAAUCCCCUCAUCGACUGUUUUUGUUUUUUUUUUUCCCAAAUGAAAUUUAAAAAGUCUGGGUGCAAGAUUAAUGAGGAAAAUUAGAUGAAUGUGAUUGCAGGAUUUGCAGCUGAUGUAGAUUAAGCUUUUUACUCUACAACAUCUUAUAUGCAGUAUUUGGUAUGCAUUCUAAAUCCAUUAGUAGUCAAGGAGAAGCAUUCGAUCUAUUGGUAUGGAAAGUCUAGGGCUCUAAGCAUAGAUGACUUUUCAUGUUAUUUAGCAAGCAAAGAGAGAUCGACCAGCUGCCAAGAGGGGUUGUGAUCAUUUGAAGCUUUCGAACACCUGAAUUUGUACUAUAAUUUGACUAAAUUUUCCGUAGCCAGCAGUCCACCACUCAGCGCAGACUGCACAGUCAGCAGAGCACAAGAAAACAAAAUCUUUUCUAACUCGGGUGGAGGAAGAACAAUGUUUAAUUUCAGGCAAAAAAAUUAUGGACCAUGCAUUGCGACGCCUUUCUAAUUCUUGAGGAAGACAAGCUAUGGAUAUAUAUCAUACUUUUAUUUUACAUAUACUUAGAACAAAAAUUACAAUGUUAUGAAUCAAAUUACAACAUUGAGAGCAAAUUUACCAAAUUUAUUUACACUAUUUACAUGAAGUUAAACAAAAUUACAAAUAUGAGAACAAUUUGUUCAAAAAGUUGUAAAAUAGUUGUACGUUUUAUAAUUAUAAUUAUUAGAUUACAAACAAUACGACUCAGCAUUACCAUUUUAACCAUAAAUAUGUUGUCACAUUUGUAAAUGUAGGUAUCACAUACGGGUAGGUACCAUAAAAUUCUCUUCUUGAGGUUUGCUACUCAUUAAUUCAUUCUAAGCAUAAGUGAGUAUUGCAACAACAAUAGCCCGAGACCGAUUCCAAGUAGAAAAUUGGUACAAAUUGUCCGCAAAAGCAGGGCCGGUCCUGAGAAUUAUGAAACUUGUAACGCAAAAUUUUGAAUGUGAACUUCUUUCACCCAAGCUUGAAAGUCGGAGGUCUUGUGCGGCCAAACCACAACAAGCACACCCUCAGGGCCACCCCUAGUUUGAAAGGUGGUGUCAAUAAUGUAUCAAAACUAGUAAAAAGUACGGGCUUUGGGUCUGUUCUUAAACUUUGGGUUUCAAUACAACCUAAAACAGUGUCCAUUAGGAAUGAUUGGGCCGCUCCAGACCAGACUAGAGAGAAAAGCAAAACAAUGAGAACAGAAAGCAGACAAGUCUGACUAGAGAGAAACCCAGAAACUUUGGUCUCUCUUUGUAUCACUCCCCAGAGAGAGAGAGAGAGAGAGAGAGAGAGAGAGAGAGGAAUGGGAAAAAUGGCGGCGUUGGGAGCAAGAGGGGGCGGACUGGUGCUGCCAAAGCCGGUGACUUUCGUGACUGGAAACGCCAAGAAGCUCGAAGAAGUGCGCGCCAUCUUGGGCAACUCCAUACCCUUCAACUCCCUCAAGCUCGACUGUGAGUACAAUCAAUCUCUUUCUCUUUGAUCAUUUUUGGGUUUUGAUGAAUAAUAUUAAAGGUCUUUUGUUGUUGUUUAUGUUGAGUUUUGGCAGUACCGGAAUUGCAAGGGGAGCCUGAGGACAUCUCCAAAGAGAAGGCUAGGUUGGCUGCCCUUCAGGUUAAUGGUCCUGUGCUUGUGGAAGACACUUGCCUCUGCUUCAAUGCCCUCAAGGGUCUUCCUGGUUAGUCUCUUUAUCUCUUUUUCGACUUUUCUUAUUGUUGGUAUUGGUUGUUUCUGAUUGAUUGUGUAAAUUUCAAUGCAGGGCCUUACAUGUAAGUUUUCCCUUCUGACUUGCUCUCGCCAGGUCAACUUAUCUUUUGUUGCGCAAAAUUUGACAUUUUUAUCUUAAGGAAAGAUUGGAUUUUGGUUGAAGUUUGAUAACUAAAAGGCUCAUGUAGUCAGCUUUGUGAGUAAAUAUUUGUUAUUGCUUGCCGUUUUAAUUGUUUGUAGUUCAAGGAUACCCAAUUGAGUAGUGAUUGACACUGUUGCAUACAUGCGGAUCCCUUUCUAUAACUAAGGAAGUUGUAUAAUUUCUAUAGCAGAACACAAUUUUCUUUUAAAACGAAGUCACAAAUGGUGUUGCUGUCUAAAAACCACCUCUUUCAAAUAUGACUUUAUUGAGAAAUUCGAUGCAGAAUUGCAGCAUAUUUUUUCUCUUCUAUCUGUUUAUUGCUAACUAGGGUUUCCCUGUACAUGUACACUGUUGAUUUCAUUAAGGUAUAUUCAUUUGGCCUGCUUAUUAGUUGGAUUGAUCAAUUCUCUUUAUUCUUCUUUCCUUUCUCUUCUGUUUUCAUUUCACAAUUCCUGUCUCCUUGUAACUAAGCCCCUUUUUUUCCCCUAAGAUGAGCACUACUCUCUCAUUCAAGCUCUCCCUCGUGGAGCUUUUUGAAUUUAGAGAAUCAGACAAUGAUCCAAUGUUGCACUUGGUUUCUUCUUUCAUUAUAGAACAAAAUGUUAGUCUUGGUUUUCUUGUGUUUACUCUGUGUGUACCCCUCUUUUAAAACAAUAUAGAAUUUAGAACUUGAAGAUGGUUUAUGAUGCUUUCUGAACGGGGAUGCUGUCAUUGUCUGUGCUACAAAUUGGAAAAAAAUUUCUUUUUGUUUGUACUGUGGCUAUCAUCCUCGAAAACUUACAAAUCCAUGGUGUCAUAUACUGACAAAAUGAUUUGUUCGCAAUAUGCAAUUAGUCGUUUCAAAAUUUUGUAUCUAAACACUGAUACUCCUUGAGUAUGAAAAUCUAUGGAAUUGACCAAGUAUUGAUACAAGUUAAAAAUGCCAAGGCUGUGAGGAAUGUCGCUUUUAUGACUUUCAUGUUGCUGCUCCUUUUGGUUGAGAAAGAGACAUAUAGGAAUAUAUAGGAUUAAGGCAAUGAAAUAGAGGAAGGAAUCCAUGAAACUACGUGUGACUUAUAUUUUGAGAUUUUUUUUCCUCCACUUUCAUUCAUAGUUGAGGGAUGAUAUGUUAUGUUGGCUCAGAAGGGGGUCCUCUCCCUACUAGGGUUCUAACAAGCAAUAACAAUACUCUGUAACCUUCUACUUUUCCUCAUUAUCCCAUCCCUCCCCCUCUCCCUCUAGCAAACUUACCCUAAAGUGAGAGACAAUUUUGUAGGUUACUGUCCUUUUUAUUUUUUUCUUUUUCUUUUUUUUUUUUCUGUUGACAUCUUUGUGUUUUUUUAACUGCAUCUAGUCAUUAUUUAAAUUGUUGUAGCUAAACACUAAUACGGUUAUGUGAUCUUGCUUUGACUUUUCAAGUAUUUCUUUCAACAAUGUGGUCCUAAUAUUUCUUACAACAAUGCAGCAAGUGGUUCCUGCAGAAGAUUGGACAUGAAGGUUGUAUUAUAAGCUGUUUAAUUGUGUAACAUUAUAAAUUGUCUUUUUGGCUUGCUCAAUGGUUCUUACUUGUUUAUAGGACUCAACAAUAUGUUGAUGGCUUAUGAGGAUAAAUCUGCUUAUGCUUUGUGUGCUUUUUCUUUCGCCAUUGGGCCUGAUGCUGAGCCUAUUGCAUUUCUGGGUAAAACUCCGGUAUGUAGACUACUAUUUUCUUAUCCCAAAUAUUCCAGGUGUAUUCUUACACUUUACUCUUUGUUCUAUACCUCUGUAUAACCUUUAGUAUAAUAAAUCUCUGGAUAUGAUUUUCAUGAUACCUUAUGCAUUCUGCUCAAGACAAAUGUGAAUGUUCUUUGAUGAUAAUCUGUAUACUAUCUAUGGUUUCCUAUUUUGGUUGUGGUAAUCCCUGAUAUUCUUCAUUUGAGUGAGGAUGAGUUGAAUGACACCUAAAUUAAUCAUGCAAAAGAUUAAAGAACUCUCCUCAUGGAUAAAUUAACCAACCCCCACCCCCCACCCCCGACCCAAAAAAAAAAAAAGACGGAGAGAGAAAAGUAGAUAUCUUGCUCAAGUCAAUAGAACUAGAAAGGCUUGCCUGAAACCAGGAGGAUCAUUGUGGCGCACAUUAUUUAUAAAGUGCAUUAAUAUAGAAAUGUAGGUUAUGGUUUGGUUUCUACUAUUGAAAUUUGAAAAUGAGUCCUCUAUCUACAUCUAUUUUCUUGUGCCUGGUUGAUCACGAGUCCUCAGACUUGAUCAUGUAUGACUUAAUUCUAGUUGACCUGAAAUAAGUCCUUUGAACAAGAGAAUAUUGUUUGUUGGAUUCGUAGGAUUAAACUAGAUGCUGAAAGGUGUUAGAAAGUGAUCCAUCUGUGCUUAUGUUGGUGUUUAAACCAAAAAAAAAAAAAACGAGAUUUCUACAAGGAAUUUGGAAUUUCCAGCUGUUUGGAAUAAACAGCAUAAAUAGUUUCCACAAACACCCAACCGGGUGGGCACUAACCUGCAUUUUACGAAUGAAUAUCAGGGGAAAAUAGUUCCUGCAAGGGGACCAAAUGAUUUUGGAUGGGAUCCAAUUUUUCAACCUGAUGGUUAUGAGCAAACGUGAGUGUUAUCUUUAUUUGAAGAUUCGAUUUUUUUUUCUCAGUGGUCCGCAUUGGUACUUGAAGCUGAAUCUCGUUAUUUAUUUUGUAGCUAUGCCGAGAUGUCAAAGGAAGAAAAGAACAAGAUUUCUCAUCGCUACAGAGCUCUUGCACUAGUGAAGUCUCACUUUGCUGAAGCUGCAUAUACUUUUGAGACCAACUAGUCUACCUAGGACUGAGUUUCUUCAUCAUGUUGCCUCUGCAUAGGCUUCCAUAGUAUGCAACCUUUUCCUGUCAUUAGCAAUUCUUCCAGUCUUGUUUGAUGGUCUACAAAAGCUAGAGGCAAAGUGGAAGUUACAGUUCAAACCAUUUAGUAUCUGUGCUCAUGCGAAAAUGAGAGGUUAGUGGAGAAAUACUGAAAUAGCUUUCUUGCCUGUGUUUUGAGCUACAUGUUAUAAACUAUUAAACUUUUCGACUGCUAUGCUCAAUUCAGAGAAAAGUAUUAUGAACUAUAAAGGUAUGAACUGUUCAAAUAGUUAUGGAAACCGUUCUCUAACUCCAUUAGUGUCACUCUUUACUAGUUUUAUUUUUACCCCAUAUAGAAGUUUACCGUCUUUGUUGACGUCGUUUACUUAAUCUGUAAAUGUGAAUGAAAGAGGAUUUUACAUAGCACCCAAUUCAAACCAAGUCAUAAGGUUGUUUUGUUCAUAUUUUUACUUUAUGGGAAGUACUUCAAUGGGAAAUUUCCCAAUAUCCAAACAAGAUCUUACACGAGAUGUGAUGGAAAUUUUACAAUCUUAGUCGACGUCGUUCAGAUCAUCAAUAAAAAUGAUUGAAAUAGGACUUUGUGGUUCCCCCAAUUCAAAUUAUGUCAUCAACUUGUUUGUUCAUGUUCUUACUUAAUAAGAGAGUCGAUAGACUUCAGUGGGAAGAUUCCCAGUUCUAAAACAAGAUCUUAUACAUAGAUUUGGAAUCAGGUAGUUCUUGUCAUAUUCAGUUUUACUCGGUUUGGGUUCCAAAAUGUAGACUAGUGUUGGUCUGUGGUUAACUUGAAAAAAAAUGAGUAAAUUUACAGACUUCCUAUCCAAUAGGCUGCCUAAACCCUAAUGUUUGGCUUCGUUGAUCCAACUUUGAGUUCUAAGUAGGAGGCCUUUAUGACUCGUUUCGUAUCGUAACCAACCAAAACAGUUCCUCAGACUAAAAUGAACUUGAUCACUACUUCCCAACGUAGGAAUGGAAUUUGGUCGAGGAAAAUAUACAGUCACCUAGAUCUUGUUUAUUGUCUGAUAUGGACUAAUGUGUUUGGUACUGAGCUUCGAUUACCUGUGUCAAACAGCUGCUAACAUCAAAAUGUGUAAACUAUCAUCGAGAGUUGUUUUAUCCUAUUGUAUCUGCCCGUUGUAAAACUCUGGUGUACAACAAAUGUGAUGAUAAGAAAUGGAGAGGAAUAGACUGUUUUGUUACUUGGGAUAGAGAUGAACGAAAUUGGAAUAGGAUUCUUGGUGAGCAUAAUGAGAUUUUCGGUGCAGGGAAUUUCCAAAUAUAGCAAAAAAAAAAAACAGACAGACAGGGCAGUUGGGGGUUUCCAUUGUAUCCGAUUCCUUGUCUAUUUCUCUCAAAUAUCUCCGUACCACUAUUACCAAUCGUAAUGUUUUGAGAAAACAACAAUUUUCAAUUGAGCUCUUAGAUCAUUCAUACCACUAUUAUCCAAUAAUGUUGUGCAGAUAAAUUCUCUCUAUUUUAAUGUGUAAUUUCCAAUCUUGUCUUAGAACCAACAUGUCAUUUUUAGACAUUUCUCCAAUUUUUGACGGAUGAGACACUUUUGUAUAUUCGUCCAUCACAUUUUACUAGUUCUCUUCAGGACUUUUUUAUUAUAUAUAUAUAUAUAGCAUAUAUCAAGCCGUGAACCGUCCGAUCGUUUAUGUUAUACAAAUGUGUAUAGCAGCCGAACUCGUUCUCUUCGUACAAUAUGAAUUUCGCACGUAACAAGAAACAAGAACCACACGAAGCAGAAAUUGCAUAAGAACUUUCUGUUGCCGUAGAAAGAAUCGGUUGCAGAAAAAUGGGGGUUAAGAGCGAUAUAUGGUCCCAUGCCUACAAGGCAAGGCAAAGGGUCGAAAGAAAAUGAUCCUCACAUGCCAAAUGGGCCAUGACUCACAUGGAAGCUAAAAAUGCUAAAUCUUCCAUCUCUAUUUUGGUGAUAUCAUGUAACACCAUGAAAUAGGACUCAUCGCAUAAUCACCAUCAACAUUUAUUUCUUCUUCUUCUUCUUCUUCUUCUAAACAAGUUAGGGCUGGUGGUGGUGGUGGUCACUCUCUGGUGGUGGUGAUGGUGGUGGGUCAUUUUGGGCACCUCCACAUGCUUCUGCCGUUGCAGCUAGCUAGCUUCCUUCUAUCCUUCUUCUGCAGACCUGACCUUUCAGAAUAUAUAUAUCCGUUGUGGAAUUGAUGGUACUAAAUACCAAAGUAUGUUGCUAUCUGAAGGACUAGUUUUGUACUCAUGUAAAUGCAGUAAUGGUAUUGGGUAUUACAUUAGAUACAACCAUUUUUGCGCUAGAAACAAACCUAUCCUAUGACUUAAAGAUCUUUUGUUAAAACAACGAUAUUUUCUACCAGAUAACUGUCAUAUUAUGUUGUCAGAUUGCCAACUGGACCUAUCCACAUGAACUUCACCUUACAGUUCGAAAGCAUCUAAUGCAACUUCUUACAAUUAUUUUCACUUUUAACUUAGGCAUGCAUACCACGUUCAUGUUAUCCUGAAUCACAUCACGAUGGAGUCAACCUCACAAUUGAGCAAGGUUCUUGACAAAUUUGGUUCACACUUUAUGUACAGAAGAUAAAGUUUUGCCCUCUUUCGUAAUGUUUUACUUGUUGCAGUCCUUGUUUUUCAUAUAUCACUUGAUAGUUAUGGAGAAGAUAAGAUGAUUGUUCCUUGUGGUCUCCUGUUUCUGCUAAACAAUUACCAGAGGAAGUUGUGACAGUCAAGUAAUGAAUGAGUUGGUAACAUGAUGCUAAAGGUGAGGGAAAGGGUGAUGAUGAUUUAACAUGUUGGUUUGUUGGUUGGUUAAUGACUUGAUUUGUAUCAUGUGGUAUGUUGGGAGAGAGCACAUGGAGCAAUUAGAAAUGCCAGUAGAGAACCAAACAUUGAUGAUUGAUAGUUGAGCAUAAUGAUAUUUAGAGAGAACCCACUUGUAUUGCACAACCAAAAGUAAAAGAUUGCUUCCAUUGCCAUUUGCCAAAGAAGAAAAAAAGCUUAAUAAGUGAAAAGGUACAAAACAUCACUGCCAAUUGCUAUGCUCUCUCUCUAGAAGACUGUAAUGAAGUCCUUUCAUAACCCAAGUUUUGACAUUCAUAUCUCACACUAUUUGCUUGUAAGACUCUAGACAAAAGCAGAAACCCAGAAAACCAUUCAUAUCCUAUAAUAAGACCCCAAAUGUAUGCAGAUGAAAAAUACUGACACUGGGAGGGAAGAUAGACAAACAAGGACACACAAACUGUGGUUAGAAUAUGGUGGUGGUGGUGGUGGUAGAUAGGAUGAAACAGAGUAAGACCGAAAGAUAGGAUAUAAGGAAAAAAAAGAAAAACAUGAACAACACUUCUGCACCUGCUCCUAAAAUGGCAUUGUAUUUUUCAGAGGAAGCAGACCGAGGUUGAGCAAUGACAGAAUAGACAGUUUGGCGGGGGUGGGAGGGAAAUGGAUUCGGGUUCAGAUUUGGACUCGACAAUAUAGUGACAUGUGUAAAUAAUGUACACUUGCCAGAUUUUGAAGAAUAGAAAGAUGGGGUGAAGAAACCAAUUGGUGGAAUAUUUUGAAAUUGGGUAAUGUUCUAUAUAAGUGUAAAGCUGAGAAUGAGAUACUACGAGUACUAGCAGGUACGUCCUCUGCGGCAUCCAAGUGCACCAGCACCAGCAGUUAUGGUUCCCACCAUGGCCGAUGACUUGGCUCCCAAGCUUGAGGCCCUGGCAUAGACAGCUGACGCUCCAGCUCCAGAUGGAGUGAAGAAGGCACCAUUGAGUAGAAGAUCACCUUCUGACCUCCAGUUCCAGCCCCUCCACUGAGUUUGCGAUGUCUCCACUCUCUUGGUAACCUUCACAACGCGAUUUUUCACCAAUAAUCAGAAAACUUAGUAUGUAAACUUCGUCAUAAUCAAAAGGUAGAUGUGAGUAGCGAUUAAGACAAUACCUCCUUUGCAAAGGGGUUGGUUGGAGCUGCAUAUCUGUUGCCUUGGCUGUUGAUAGUGGGGUCUGCACUUCCACCGAUGGCAUACAUUUCCCAGUGAGUGUAGUCGUUGUUCACCACAUGGAAAUAUCCAUGUCUGCACCUGCAUUAUUCAUAGUUCAUAGCAGCAUUAACAAAUGCAACUCUGCUACCAAGGCAAAAUCCGAUUUCAAUAUUGAAUAAUGUCAUAAGUAGGGUUGCUGUUUCUUGCAGCCAAGUUUUAUGUCCAGAACUCAUCCUAAUUGAAAUCGACAUAUCAGACAUGGGAAGCUAAAUAUGCCGGUUCUAGUUGAAAAAUUACCUUGGCAUUCUCUGGAUAAGUCCCUCUCCAAAGUGGUUGUAGGCAAUAGUCACUUGCAUUUGCUUGUCCCUGGUAUAAGAAUCGCUGUGGCCCAACAGCAUUACCUGAUUCAAUUGCAUAGAUAAAAAUGUCAGUAUCACAACUAAAAUAUAGAUGGAAGUAAAUAUUAAUCGGGAAGAGGCAUUAGACAUACUUCAUUGUGGUGGGUAAGGUGGUUGUUGGAGAUGGUAAUAGCAGUUGACCCCAUGACAGCAUCAACAAGACCAUCAGCACAAUUGGAGAGGGAAUUGUGAUCAACCCAGAUAUGGCUUGACCCGAAGAUGGAGAUAGCAUCACCAUCAGCCAUUGUCCUCCAUCCAAAGUGAGAUGGGGAGCUCCUCACCAAAGCAUUUCCUGUGGGCUUGCA